This is a non-coding RNA of Bemisia tabaci, 328 nucleotides long. The record is from RefSeq and is a predicted model, not a curated record. Lineage: Eukaryota; Metazoa; Arthropoda; Insecta; Hemiptera; Aleyrodidae.
AAUCCAUAAAGUGCGACUAAACGAGUCAAAGACCGAGUAUAGGGAAUUUUCCAACACUAGGACCGCUUCACCGAGCCGUGAAAACAUCAUCCAGGCCAAGGAAUUUUACUCUGACGGCGCAGCCAGGGAACCAACUUAAUAGGGUGAGGACCAACGAUACCAUGAGCAUCUCUAAAAGUUCGAACGACUUACCUCUCCGACUGGGAGCUACAAACUCCUCAAUAUCUUCGCCAGGUUCCUCGAUAGCUCGAGGUCUGGGAGUUUCUCGGCCUCAAGCUCCUUGAGGAGUGGCCAAUUUUUGUACAAAUAAAAUAACAUUUGACCUCGA